GCCUCCAGACUUGUAAAGAAUAGAGACAAUAGAUGCCUGUACAGGUACAGGCCAGCUGGCUGUGCACUAUACUGCACAAUUCCACAUGAUGAGCAAGUGAGGUGACCAGGGCGACCCAGACUGUUGUGUAUAAUACAUACUUAUGUAUAUAAUUCCUGACGAAUGUGGUUUUGUGCCUACCCAUGCAGUACAAGCUUCUAUCCCCAAUGAUGGCAAAUAGAUGCUGAUGGCAUGAAUAAUGAAGUCAGAGAGAUAUCCAAAAAAAGGAAAGGUGUGAUUUAACAAUGGACAGGGAUCAUGUAAAAGCUCAUAACAUUUACAGCGUCUGAACCUCAAAACAGCAAGUAAAAUCCUUAAACAGCAGUUCAGCAAAUUAUGUAAUGGCAACAGCCAGUAACAUGAUGGAACUUCCUUUCAGCAUGUCCCUGCUCGUAACAGCUUUCAACGCCUGUUAGCAACUACACCCUAUGGCAUAAACAUGCCGGUUACCGACCGUUUGGGGCCCAUUAACCCAACCGGCCGGUUGAAUGGCGUUAACGGCCCGGUUGGGUUAACGGUCGGUUGGGUUAACGAUCAGCUGGGUUAACGGUCGGUUGGGUUAAUGGGCCCCAAACGGUCGGUAACCGGCAUGUUUAUGCCAUAGGGUGUAGUUGCUAACAG
Molecule: long non-coding RNA, 660 nt
Filed under: Volvox carteri
Lineage: Eukaryota; Viridiplantae; Chlorophyta; Chlorophyceae; Chlamydomonadales; Volvocaceae
Description: long non-coding RNA (VCAR_LNC001418)
Source: RNAcentral